GAGAGAGAUGUAGAAGAGAGAAACAGACAGAAUUAGAGAGCAUAGAGAGAGAGAGAGAGAGAGAGAGAGAAACAGAAAGCAUAGAGAGAGAAACUGAAAAGAGAGAAGAAACGAAAAACAGAGCGUACGUGUGCGUACGCCUCUGCCCAGAGGAACCGGGUCCUCUUCGCGUGUGAGGUGAACUUCUUCUCUUCUAGUGCAUUUUCCUUCCUUCCCUCUUGCUUCGCAUCGUUCCCUUGAGCUAACUUAAUCUACCCAGAAUGUGCAGCAAGCUUCCGACGGAAGCUGUUCCCUCUGCUGCUGUCAACUGCGUAUCUGCUGCAGGUAGCUGAGUUUCUCUUGUCUUUUCCGCUUUCCUUAUUCUGUUUCCUUGCAUUUAGAGGAUGUUUAGGGAUGCCUUUACAUGUUAGGAUAAGUGCCUAACCAUUUCCUGCAGCAGAUUCUUCCCAGAACACUGCAGAAGUCGCUACAAAUCCACCCAGCUCUGCACGCAUCGCAUGGAUGUGUUGCAGAGAGUUCAUGCGCGAUUGGGGGCGAUCCACUCGUCCUAAAUUUGGUCUCCAUUGAGUUAUUCCACUCAUUUUGAUGCAUGACAAAAUAUGAGAGAAAAAUCAAGAAAAGCAACAUGAAGAAGUGCAGAAUUCGUGGAGAAGCCGUCAGACCAAGAAUAAGCCUUGCCUAAGGCUUAGGACCAACAAGAAGUAGCAGAAUCGAAUUCCUUUUCACUUGUUCCUCGGGCAAGGCUAAGGCAUCAGCGGAAUUACAAUUUGCAGACCCACUCAAAUAAGCCUCACCUGGGCUUACGUCUCAACAAAAAGAGGAAACAUAACUUACCCUUGGGCACAACUAACACCAAGGCAUGAGGAGGUCAUUCAAAGACCUACUCAAGGUUGCUUAAUUCUCGAACAAAGAUCAUGUCGAACCUGACUGAUAUUGAGAAGAAGAGAAUUACCCUUGCCCAAGGCUAGUGCAGAUUUGUUGAUCCUUGCCCAAGGUU
Carica papaya (papaya) is the source of this 997-nucleotide non-coding RNA. Lineage: Eukaryota; Viridiplantae; Streptophyta; Magnoliopsida; Brassicales; Caricaceae. The record is from RefSeq and is a predicted model, not a curated record.